AAAUUGAAGAGUUUGAUCAUGGCUCAGAUUGAACGCUGGCGGCAGGCCUAACACAUGCAAGUCGAGCGGUAGCACAGAGAGCUUGCUCUCGGGUGACGAGCGGCGGACGGGUGAGUAAUGUCUGGGAAACUGCCUGAUGGAGGGGGAUAACUACUGGAAACGGUAGCUAAUACCGCAUAACGUCGCAAGACCAAAGUGGGGGACCUUCGGGCCUCAUGCCAUCAGAUGUGCCCAGAUGGGAUUAGCUAGUAGGUGGGGUAACGGCUCACCUAGGCGACGAUCCCUAGCUGGUCUGAGAGGAUGACCAGCCACACUGGAACUGAGACACGGUCCAGACUCCUACGGGAGGCAGCAGUGGGGAAUAUUGCACAAUGGGCGCAAGCCUGAUGCAGCCAUGCCGCGUGUGUGAAGAAGGCCUUCGGGUUGUAAAGCACUUUCAGCGGGGAGGAAGGCGAUAAGGUUAAUAACCUUGUCGAUUGACGUUACCCGCAGAAGAAGCACCGGCUAACUCCGUGCCAGCAGCCGCGGUAAUACGGAGGGUGCAAGCGUUAAUCGGAAUUACUGGGCGUAAAGCGCACGCAGGCGGUCUGUCAAGUCGGAUGUGAAAUCCCCGGGCUUAACCUGGGAACUGCAUUCGAAACUGGCAGGCUAGAGUCUUGUAGAGGGGGGUAGAAUUCCAGGUGUAGCGGUGAAAUGCGUAGAGAUCUGGAGGAAUACCGGUGGCGAAGGCGGCCCCCUGGACAAAGACUGACGCUCAGGUGCGAAAGCGUGGGGAGCAAACAGGAUUAGAUACCCUGGUAGUCCACGCCGUAAACGAUGUCGAUUUGGAGGUUGUGCCCUUGAGGCGUGGCUUCCGGAGCUAACGCGUUAAAUCGACCGCCUGGGGAGUACGGCCGCAAGGUUAAAACUCAAAUGAAUUGACGGGGGCCCGCACAAGCGGUGGAGCAUGUGGUUUAAUUCGAUGCAACGCGAAGAACCUUACCUGGUCUUGACAUCCACAGAACUUUCCAGAGAUGGAUUGGUGCCUUCGGGAACUGUGAGACAGGUGCUGCAUGGCUGUCGUCAGCUCGUGUUGUGAAAUGUUGGGUUAAGUCCCGCAACGAGCGCAACCCUUAUCCUUUGUUGCCAGCGGUCCGGCCGGGAACUCAAAGGAGACUGCCAGUGAUAAACUGGAGGAAGGUGGGGAUGACGUCAAGUCAUCAUGGCCCUUACGACCAGGGCUACACACGUGCUACAAUGGCAUAUACAAAGAGAAGCGACCUCGCGAGAGCAAGCGGACCUCAUAAAGUAUGUCGUAGUCCGGAUUGGAGUCUGCAACUCGACUCCAUGAAGUCGGAAUCGCUAGUAAUCGUAGAUCAGAAUGCUACGGUGAAUACGUUCCCGGGCCUUGUACACACCGCCCGUCACACCAUGGGAGUNGGUUGANNAAGAAGUAGGUAGCUUAACCUUCGGGAGGGCGCUUACCACUUUGUGAUUCAUGACUGGGGUGAAGUCGUAACAAGGUAACCGUAGGGGAACCUGCGGUUGGAUCACCUCCUUACCUUAAAGAA
RNAcentral lists this ribosomal RNA (1550 nucleotides) under Klebsiella pneumoniae. RNAcentral's name for it is "bacterial SSU rRNA". It matches the Rfam family "Bacterial small subunit ribosomal RNA". Lineage: Bacteria; Pseudomonadati; Pseudomonadota; Gammaproteobacteria; Enterobacterales; Enterobacteriaceae. The record is from RNAcentral.